RNAcentral lists this ribosomal RNA (818 nucleotides) under Streptococcus pasteurianus. RNAcentral's name for it is "bacterial SSU rRNA". It matches the Rfam family "Bacterial small subunit ribosomal RNA", at positions 54 to 853 of the family's 1533-position model. The record is from RNAcentral. Lineage: Bacteria; Bacillati; Bacillota; Bacilli; Lactobacillales; Streptococcaceae.
CAUGCAAGUAGAACGCUGACUACUUUAGCUUGCUAGAGUAGAAGGAGUUGCGUAACGGGUGAGUAACGCGUAGGUAACCUGCCUACUAGCGGGGGAUAACUAUUGGAAACGAUAGCUAAUACCGCAUAACAGUGUUUAACACAUGUUAGAUGCUUGAAAGAUGCAAAUGCAUCACUAGUAGAUGGACCUGCGUUGUAUUAGCUAGUUGGUGGGGUAACGGCCUACCAAGGCGACGAUACAUAGCCGACCUGAGAGGGUGAUCGGCCACACUGGGACUGAGACACGGCCCAGACUCCUACGGGAGGCAGCAGUAGGGAAUCUUCGGCAAUGGGGGCAACCCUGACCGAGCAACGCCGCGUGAGUGAAGAAGGUUUUCGGAUCGUAAAGCUCUGUUGUAAGAGAAGAACGUGUGUGAGAGUGGAAAGUUCACACAGUGACGGUAACUUACCAGAAAGGGACGGCUAACUACGUGCCAGCAGCCGCGGUAAUACGUAGGUCCCGAGCGUUGUCCGGAUUUAUUGGGCGUAAAGCGAGCGCAGGCGGUUUAAUAAGUCUGAAGUUAAAGGCAGUGGCUUAACCAUUGUUCGCUUUGGAAACUGUUAAACUUGAGUGCAGAAGGGGAGAGUGGAAUUCCAUGUGUAGCGGUGAAAUGCGUAGAUAUAUGGAGGAACACCGGUGGCGAAAGCGGCUCUCUGGUCUGUAACUGACGCUGAGGCUCGAAAGCGUGGGGAGCAAACAGGAUUAGAUACCCUGGUAGUCCACGCCGUAAACGAUGAGUGCUAGGUGUUAGGCCCUUUCCGGGGCUUAGUGCCGCAGCU